AAUAGAUACCCGGGUAGUCCAUGCCGUAAACGUUGGGCACUAGGUGUGGGGGACAUUCCACGUUUUCCGCGCCGUAGCUAACGCAUUAAGUGCCCCGCCUGGGGAGUACGGCCGCAAGGCUAAAACUCAAAGGAAUUGACGGGGGCCCGCACAAGCGGCGGAGCAUGCGGAUUAAUUCGAUGCAACGCGAAGAACCUUACCAAGGCUUGACAUGGACCGGAUCGCCGCAGAAAUGUGGUUUCUCCUUUUGGGGCCGGUUCACAGGUGGUGCAUGGUUGUCGUCAGCUCGUGUCGUGAGAUGUUGGGUUAAGUCCCGCAACGAGCGCAACCCUCGUUCCAUGUUGCCAGCGCGUAAUGGCGGGGACUCAUGGGAGACUGCCGGGGUCAACUCGGAGGAAGGUGGGGACGACGUCAAAUCAUCAUGCCCCUUAUGUCUUGGGCUUCACGCAUGCUACAAUGGCCGGUACAAAGGGUUGCGAUACUGUGAGGUGGAGCUAAUCCCGAAAAAGCCGGUCUCAGUUCGGAUUGGGGUCUGCAACUCGCCUAC
Molecule: ribosomal RNA, 547 nt
Filed under: uncultured bacterium
Lineage: Bacteria
Description: bacterial SSU rRNA
Rfam family: Bacterial small subunit ribosomal RNA
Source: RNAcentral